Molecule: transfer RNA, 85 nt
Filed under: Clostridium sp.
Lineage: Bacteria; Bacillati; Bacillota; Clostridia; Eubacteriales; Clostridiaceae
Also listed under: 8 other names
Description: tRNA-Tyr
Rfam family: tRNA
About the family: Transfer RNA (tRNA) molecules are approximately 80 nucleotides in length. Their secondary structure includes four short double-helical elements and three loops (D, anti-codon, and T loops). Further hydrogen bonds mediate the characteristic L-shaped molecular structure. tRNAs have two regions of fundamental functional importance: the anti-codon, which is responsible for specific mRNA codon recognition, and the 3' end, to which the tRNAs corresponding amino acid is attached (by aminoacyl-tRNA synthetases). tRNAs cope with the degeneracy of the genetic code in two manners: having more than one tRNA (with a specific anti-codon) for a particular amino acid; and 'wobble' base-pairing, i.e. permitting non-standard base-pairing at the 3rd anti-codon position.
Source: RNAcentral
GGGUAGGUUCCCGAGUGGCCAAAGGGAGCAGACUGUAAAUCUGCCGUCUACGACUUCGAUGGUUCGAAUCCAUCCCUGCCCACCA